GGGGGGGGAGCGAGCGUUGUCCGGAAUUACUGGGCGUAAAGGGCGCGUAGGCGGCCGAGUAAGUCGCGUGUGAAAGGGCCGGGGGCUCAACCCCGAGCACUGCACGCGAUACUGCCCGGCUAGAGAGAGGUAGAGGCGAGCGGAAUUCCCGGUGUAGCGGUGGAAUGCGUAGAUAUCGGGAAGAACACCUGUGGCGAAGGCGGCUCGCUGGGCCUUUUCUGACGCUGAAGCGCGAAAGCGUGGGGAGCAAACAGGAUUAGAUACCCUGGUAGUCCACGCCGUAAACGUUGGGCACUAGGUGUCGGGAGGCUUGGUCCUCUCGGUGUCGUAGCUAACGCAUUAAGUGCCCCGCCUGGGGAGUACGGUCGCAAAGGCUG
RNAcentral lists this ribosomal RNA (377 nucleotides) under uncultured organism. Its description in RNAcentral is "partial 16S ribosomal RNA". It matches the Rfam family "Bacterial small subunit ribosomal RNA", at positions 525 to 896 of the family's 1533-position model. The record is from RNAcentral.